GACGAACGCUGGCGGCGUGCUUAACACAUGCAAGUCGAACGGAAAGGCCCUGCUUUUGUGGGGUGCUCGAGUGGCGAACGGGUGAGUAACACGUGAGUAACCUGCCCUUGACUUUGGGAUAACUUCAGGAAACUGGGGCUAAUACCGGAUAGGAGCUCCUGCUGCAUGGUGGGGGUUGGAAAGUUUCGGCGGUUGGGGAUGGACUCGCGGCUUAUCAGCUUGUUGGUGGGGUAGUGGCUUACCAAGGCUUUGACGGGUAGCCGGCCUGAGAGGGUGACCGGCCACAUUGGGACUGAGAUACGGCCCAGACUCCUACGGGAGGCAGCAGUGGGGAAUAUUGCACAAUGGACGGAAGCAUGAUGCAGCAACGCCGCGUGCGGGAUAACGGCCUUCGGGUUGUAAACCGCUUUCGCCUGUGACGAAGCGUGAGUGACGGUAAUGGGUAAAGAAGCACCGGCUAACUACGUG
RNAcentral lists this ribosomal RNA (468 nucleotides) under uncultured bacterium. RNAcentral's name for it is "partial 16S ribosomal RNA". It matches the Rfam family "Bacterial small subunit ribosomal RNA", at positions 28 to 507 of the family's 1533-position model. The record is from RNAcentral.